UACGGAGGAUCCGAGCGUUAUCCGGAUUUAUUGGGUUUAAAGGGUGCGCAGGCGGGAGAUUAAGUCGGCGGUGAAAUUUUGCAGCUUAACUGUAAAAGUGCCUUCGAAACUGGUUUCCUUGAGUGUAGAUGAAGUAGGCGGAAUUUGUGGUGUAGCGGUGAAAUGCUUAGAUAUCACGAGGAACUCCGAUUGCGCAGGCAGCUUACUAAACCACUACUGACGCUCAUGCACGAAAGCGUGGGGAUCAAACAGGAUUAGAUACCCCUGUAGU
RNAcentral lists this ribosomal RNA (271 nucleotides) under uncultured prokaryote. RNAcentral's name for it is "partial 16S ribosomal RNA". It matches the Rfam family "Bacterial small subunit ribosomal RNA", at positions 524 to 794 of the family's 1533-position model. The record is from RNAcentral.